Molecule: ribosomal RNA, 292 nt
Filed under: uncultured bacterium
Lineage: Bacteria
Description: partial 16S ribosomal RNA
Rfam family: Bacterial small subunit ribosomal RNA
Source: RNAcentral
GUGUCAGCCGCCGCGGUAAUACAGAGGGUGCGAGCGUUGUCCGGAAUCACUGGGCGUAAAGGGCGCGUAGGUGGUAACCUAAGCGUGCGGUGAAAGCCCGAGGCUCAACCUCGGGUCGGCCGUGCGAACUGGGUCACUUGAGCAGAAUAGAGGCAGGUGGAAUUCCGGGUGUAGCGGUGGAAUGCGUAGAGAUCCGGAAGAACACCGGUGGCGAAGGCGGCCUGCUGGGUUCUGGCUGACACUGAGGCGCGACAGCGUGGGGAGCAAACAGGAUUAGAAACCCCGGUAGUCC